ACGACGCUGGCGGCGUGCCUAACACAUGCAAGUCGAGCGGGGAUUGUGGAGAGCUUGCUCAAAGCAAUUCUAGCGGCGGACGGGUGAGUAACGCGUGAGCAACCUGCCUUUCACAGGGGGAUAACGCAUCGAAAGAUGUGCUAAUACCGCGUAAGACCACGGUGUCGCAUGACACAGGGGUCAAAGGAGCAAUCCGGUUUGAGAUGGGCUCGCGUCCGAUUAGCUAGUUGGUGAGAUAACAGCCCACCAAGGCGACGAUCGGUAGCCGACCUGANAGGGUGAUCGGCCACAUUGGAACUGAGAUACGGUCCAGACUCCUACGGGAGGCAGCAGUGGGGAAUAUUGGGCAAUGGGCGAAAGCCUGACCCAGCAACGCCGCGUGAGGGAAGAAGGGUUUCGGAUCGUAAAGCUCUGUUGAGAGGGACGAGAGGCAAGGCUAGGAAAUGAGCUUUGUAGGACGGUACCUUUCGAGGAAGCCACGGCUAACUACGUG
RNAcentral lists this ribosomal RNA (493 nucleotides) under uncultured bacterium. RNAcentral's name for it is "bacterial SSU rRNA". It matches the Rfam family "Bacterial small subunit ribosomal RNA", at positions 33 to 507 of the family's 1533-position model. The record is from RNAcentral.